UACAGAGGUGGCAAGCGUUGUUCGGAAUUACUGGGCGUAAAGGGCGCGUAGGCGGUUCGUUAAGUCCUGUGUGAAAUCCCCCGGCUCAACUGGGGAACUGCACAGGAAACUAGCGGGCUUGAGUUCGGGAGAGGGAAGCGGAAUUCCGGGUGGAGUGGUGAAAUGCGUAGAGAUCCGGAGGAACACCGAAGGCGAAGGCAGUGUCCUGGCGAGUGACUGACGCUGAGGUGCGAAAGCCAGGGGAGCGAACGGG
Molecule: ribosomal RNA, 253 nt
Filed under: uncultured bacterium
Lineage: Bacteria
Description: partial 16S ribosomal RNA
Rfam family: Bacterial small subunit ribosomal RNA
Source: RNAcentral